AUACUUACCUGGACGAGGUCUAUUGUUGAUCAUGAAGACACAUGGCCUUUGGCAAUAACUUCCAUUACACAUUGGAGGGAUACUACUUUAAGGUCUGUCAAACAUGGCAGAGCCUACGUCAUAAUUUGUGGUAGUGGGACUUGCGUUCGCGCAAGUUCUUC
Non-coding RNA from Phaseolus vulgaris (common bean), 161 nucleotides. The record is from Rfam. Lineage: Eukaryota; Viridiplantae; Streptophyta; Magnoliopsida; Fabales; Fabaceae.